ACGGGUGAGUAAUGCCUAGGAAUCUGCCUGAUAGUGGGGGAUAACGUCCGGAAACGGACGCUAAUACCGCAUACGUCCUACGGGAGAAAGUGGGGGAUCUUCGGACCUCACGCUAUCAGAUGAGCCUAGGUCGGAUUAGCUAGUUGGUGGGGUAAAGGCUCACCAAGGCGACGAUCCGUAACUGGUCUGAGAGGAUGAUCAGUCACACUGGAACUGAGACACGGUCCAGACUCCUACGGGAGGCAGCAGUGGGGAAUAUUGGACAAUGGGCGAAAGCCUGAUCCAGCCAUGCCGCGUGUGUGAAGAAGGUCUUCGGAUUGUAAAGCACUUUAAGUUGGGAGGAAGGGUCGUUACCUAAUACGUGGCGAUUUUGACGUUACCGACAGAAUAAGCACCGGCUAACUCUGUGCCAGCAGCCGCGGUAAUACAGAGGGUGCAAGCGUUAAUCGGAAUUACUGGGCGUAAAGCGCGCGUAGGUGGUUUGUUAAGUUGGAUGUGAAAUCCCCGGGCUCAACCUGGGAACUGCAUCCAAAACUGGCAAGCUAGAGUAGGGCAGAGGGUGGUGGAAUUUCCUGUGUAGCGGUG
This 585-nucleotide ribosomal RNA is filed under the name Pseudomonas sp. StFLB051. RNAcentral's name for it is "bacterial SSU rRNA". It matches the Rfam family "Bacterial small subunit ribosomal RNA", at positions 102 to 683 of the family's 1533-position model. Lineage: Bacteria; Pseudomonadati; Pseudomonadota; Gammaproteobacteria; Pseudomonadales; Pseudomonadaceae. The record is from RNAcentral.